GCAACCACUAUGAGGGAGUUUUAUGACCCAAAUCUGUUCCUGAGGAGAAAUACCACAGUGCUUUCUUUGAAGGGGGUACCUAUGGAUCUGUACAUAGGAGUGGCAGAAACUGAACGUGUUUUACAGUCCAAACAAAAUUCAUGAAAAAGAAGGUAAUGUCCAUAGAAGGCCUUUGAGCUAUCCAGCACCAUACCUGAUUCCCAGAUGAUACCCAGUCACCCCCAAAGACUGUGUAGCUCUGAAUCAGGUGAAAAGGCUCAAAACAUACCACACAGUGAAACUCUAUCACUAGAAAUAAAUCUGUAUUUACUGCAGCGGGCACUUGAACUGACUCUCCUUAUUUCCCAGGGGAUCAUCUAGACCACUGGGUUACUGGAUGUAGUGGUGGUCAAUGACUAAUCACAUUCCCACAAGUGCACCCCUGUCCAUUUUUUGUGCAAGGUCUGAUGCAACACAUGCUAUUGCAGUACAGACUGGAUCACCCAGGGCAGCUCCUGGUUUGAGACCUCCACCAAAACUCAGGCAGGAGCUCCAGAGGGUCCUGAAGAUCCAUGAAUGAGAAACUGGGAAUGGCUGAGCAAGGCCAAAGUACUCACUUGGACAUGCAAAGUGUCAGCUCUCUAGAUAGCGUUAGUCUCUGUGGACUGCACAGAGAAACAGUCAAAGGAUGUAGUGUUGGACUUUUCAAGGUUAAGCAACCCAACUGUAUGGUCACGCGUACAAAGUAAACAUCUAAGUAUGUAGUGAUGCAUUCCUGUAGCCUGUGAGCACCACAAGGAGACUCAAACAAAUGGAAACCCAUUAACAUUUUUUCUUCAUAGCUUAUAAAGUCAUUAAAGGUGUCUAGUAAAGUAAGUACUAUAGUGAGUAAAAUGUAUUAAAACCCAGUACAAAAAGUCCAUUGUCUAUUGCAUAACUAGGCUAACUGUUCUUAGCCUUUACAACUGUGCAUUGUGAAGAAAAGAAAAAAUCUAAAAAAGGUAUUUUCUUUUUAUUUCAUUUCUAGACUGGAUGCUAGUUUCAAAUUCAUGGGCCCAUACAAUGGAAAUGUCUGUAUCUAUGAAAUGAAAAUUGUCUUCUGAAAAAGACCUGUAGUAAGUCAGUGCACUACAGAACUCAGACGUGUAAACAAACAAUGCCACAACAGAAGCCCAAAGCACAACAUAUGCUACCUCACACCUGUUAGGAUAAUACCUUCUCCCACAGGCUAAAAAAGGAGCUGUCGUAGCUCAUGCUCUGCUCAACUCAGCUGCAGCCUGGUAUGCUGGCUUUGCCCACAAGUUGUCUCGAUGUAAGGGCAAGCCAACAAAGAGGGGAUUUAGAAUGUAUUUUACGGGACAGACAUACAGCAAAGGCAGUCUGGUACGGCUACUUCUUGGAGACGUACAAGAUGGGUCUGCUUUAGGUUCAAAGCAAAGCUUAGCAAUUGCCUCCCUGGCAAGAAAGGAACAAAUCAAGACCAUUUACUGAUUUCUGUCAUUGUUUUUAAAAUCUACAUAUAUAUAGAAAUGCAUGUAAAAGGUGCAUUAAUAUGGAUCUGUUCUGUUCCUCAAGUCUGCACCCAUGCAGGACUGGGCAAAAGGAGUGUGCGUGACACUCCACAAGCCCUUCUGGUUCUCCAAAGCAGGAGGAUGUGUUGAUCUUCUAUCCCUCAUCUCACACUUUCCUUUCUCUCAUUAAUACAGAAAGAAAGGCAAACUGAUUUUGGUUUACAGAAACGAAGAGGUUUUACAUGUGCAUGAGUAGUGGCUUGUGAUUUAGAAAGCAAGUGACCACGACAGAGUCCUCACAAUGCCUCUGAGGAGGUGGCAGGAGAAUCCUAUGACAGUGACAAACAACAUUUCCAAAUUAGCCAACCAGACCAAAAAGCUUCUGCUUCUCUGAAAGGCUUUGAGCAAGCAAGCUAAAAGCUUAGUUUCAAUAAUGAAAUGCCUUCAGCAGAAUAAACAAUAUAUUUCAAGUUAAAUGCUUACUUAAUGUUUUGUUGCAUAGAAGCCUAGAUCCAAAUUUAUAUCAAAAACCAAACAGCCCUCUAAAAUGCCCAAUUAUAUGAUGGAAAUUAUGGCUUUUAUGAACAGAAUUAAGACUGAAUAAUGAAGUACCUUUGGUAGAAAAGGUAUGUUGACACUUUCUUUACUUUGCAGUAUCAGUUUUUUCUAUUUGUGGCUUUUUUUACCUAGCAAAAGAGAACACAAAUCUUGAAAAAGGAGCACAUUGCUAAACCAAGUAUGCCAGCAGGACAGAAUGUGUAAACCAUGGGCAGCACACAGGCGUAGGAACUGCAGCCGUGCCUACAAGGUAUCUCUGCCCCUUCUCUUGUAGGGACACCUGGGCUUCCACGGGCCAGCCUCCUGAACCACCACGGCUGACAGCAAAGCACUGCAAGGGACUCCUAAUUGGACUCAUCAGAAAACUCAGCAUCUUCUAUGACCUUUGGUGGUCUUCUCCCUACAGACACCUCCACAAUCCCACCUACUACUGUGAGACUGGGAAAAUGAGAUUAAUUCUUGAUACGCAGGUGGUGUAACCCUAAGUCUAAGAACUUAACUCACUCUUUAUGCUCUCUUUCUUGUUCUGCAUGUCUGUAUAAAGAAUUUAAAUGCAUACUGUUCUCAGUUUUACUUAGGCUUCCUGUAUUGGUAAAAUACUGACAGUAGUAAGUCAAACACUGCAAUAAAAUUACUAUGAUUUAUAAUCCUAGUUCACCUACAAUAUUUUAGUGGUAAAAAUACUAAUUAAUAAAUUAAUUACAAUUAAAAUAGACUAGAAUUAUUAAAAUUAAGUAUUAAAGCUAUUAAUAACUAUUAAAACUUUAAAAUAAUAAAACUAAAAUAAUAUUAACUAUAUAAUAAAAUUAAUUACCAGGUUCCCAUUGGUAAGGUAUAUUCCACACAUCUUGCAGACAGUGGAAUUAACAAUAAAAAUAGGGUGUCUUGUUAAAUAAAGCAAAUGUAUAAAACCAAAUGAAGAGCAAACAAAACAAGAUUUUAUGCACGGGAGUCAUCUUGCCCCAGUACAGCACUGUAUUUCUUCAAACGCUAUGUUCUACACUCAUUUUCUUUUUGUAGAUUUGUAGCCCUUACUCAUACUUUGAUUUCAGUAUUUGGCUUUCCAGUUUCAUUUCAGAUCCUUACUGCAUUUGGAGGGGUUUUACUACUCCCUUUGGUAACCGCAGGAUCAAGCUCUGGCUUUGGCUAGCAGGCAGUUACCCUGAAGAAGGUGAGCGCAUUCAGUUUUAAUUACUUCUCUCCAAAUGGUCUUACUGUCAAUGGCCUAUUGAUACAAAGAAUCCUUAAAAAGCGCUACCAGACACCUACUGACCAGGUGAAGCAGGCACUUUUCUUAAAUUUCUUCUUUCAAGAGAGGCAGAGUCUCUACAGAGGUGACAUUCUGACAUCAGAUCAAAUGCCUUGAAUAAAGAUUGAUUUUCUUC
Long non-coding RNA from Pezoporus occidentalis (night parrot), 3433 nucleotides. RefSeq lists it as uncharacterized. The transcript has 4 exons. Lineage: Eukaryota; Metazoa; Chordata; Aves; Psittaciformes; Psittacidae. The record is from RefSeq and is a predicted model, not a curated record.